AACGAACGCUGGCGGCAUGCCUAACACAUGCAAGUCGAACGAGACCUGCGGGUCUAGUGGCGCACGGGUGCGUAACGCGUGGGAACCUGCCCUUAGGUUCGGAAUAACUCCCCGAAAGGGGUGCUAAUACCGGAUAAUGUCUUCGGACCAAAGAUUUAUCGCCUUUGGAUGGGCCCGCGUUGGAUUAGCUAGUUGGUAGGGUAAAAGCCUACCAAGGCGACGAUCCAUAGCUGGUCUGAGAGGAUGAGCAGCCACACUGGGACUGAGACACGGCCCAGACUCUUACGGGAGGGAGCAGUGGGGAAUAUUGGACAAUGGGCGAAAGCCUGAUGCAGCUCUGCCGCGUGAGUGAUGAAGGCCUUAGGGUUGUAAAGCUAUUUUACCCGGGAUGAUAAUGACAGUACCGGGAGAAUAAGCUCCGGCUAACUCCGUG
Molecule: ribosomal RNA, 433 nt
Filed under: uncultured bacterium
Lineage: Bacteria
Description: partial 16S ribosomal RNA
Rfam family: Bacterial small subunit ribosomal RNA
Source: RNAcentral